CUCGUGAGCCCUGCGCCGCUCAGUCGCUCCCUGCACAAUCGCCACCGCCGAUUGUUGCCGCUCAGUGUGUAAUCCAUCAGCGAGAUAGCGGGCGCCCACGACCCUGCCCUCGCCGUGUGGCCCGUCCGCGAGAUAGCCCGUGCCCAGGAGCCUACCCCGGCACGCGGUGCCGCGCCCGCCCUGCACGUCCCCUGAACCAGCCGGCCACACAAAGCUGUAAUUCUUCCCUGCCCUUCUUUAGGUUCAACUUCUUCGUUUGACCUGUUGCAGCAUUAUACAGGAUUAGAAUUUUCAGAAUAGAGUUCUAAAAAACAAACAGUUGCACAGCACAAUGCUAUAAGCCGUUCGUUUUAUAUCUGUAAUUAAUGGUUUUCUAUGUGGAACAUGGUUAGUGUUUUGGCUGCUGCAAUUUUGUAACUAACUAAAUCAUGCACCCUAUCUCCUUGGCUUUCAGAAUUUACGAAGGUGACUUGAGUUCUCGCAGAACACCUGAAAUAUUGGAUUUAGCUUAUAGAAUUUACAAAGGUGCCAAUGGUAUUAAUGUAAGCGCACAUCACAGAACGAGAAAAUUAAUCAUAAUUAGUUUCAGCUCGGACCUAUGGUGUACGUGCAUAUACACUCAUAGGCAUGGGCCAAAUUAUAGAGUGCUACUCUGAAACAACAAAGUGCACUAAGAUACCAACAGAUACAUACAUACCUCAUGCGUGCUCAAGGACAUACCAAGACCCCAGGCAGAUACAUAAAAUCUGAAGAUACAUGAGUAAGAAGCAAGAUAACAGUCGGUCAUUACAUAAUCAGAAAUAGAUAUUACUUUUAUAUUACCAGAUUCAUGAUGUAGUGGACAGAGAAAAUCCAUGAAAAAAACAGCCCCAACUAAAAAGUAUCAUACGAACACUAAAUCGCAAAGUCCUCUUGAGAAUUAAUUCUCUAGCUAUCAAAGCAACAUGUCUAUGAAAUCAAAGCAUUACCCUUGCCAAGAUCAUCAUCAGCAU
RNAcentral lists this long non-coding RNA (992 nucleotides) under Triticum aestivum (bread wheat). RNAcentral's name for it is "long non-coding RNA (TAES_LNC005057)". Lineage: Eukaryota; Viridiplantae; Streptophyta; Magnoliopsida; Poales; Poaceae. The record is from RNAcentral.